This is a small nucleolar RNA of Psammomys obesus (fat sand rat), 143 nucleotides long. RefSeq annotates it as small nucleolar RNA SNORA48. Lineage: Eukaryota; Metazoa; Chordata; Mammalia; Rodentia; Muridae. The record is from RefSeq and is a predicted model, not a curated record. The transcript has a single exon.
UCCCCUUGGCGACAGGCCAAGAGACACCUUGUUGGUGGUGGUGUUCUUAUCUCAUUCAGAGGCAGAGCAGAUGGUAGUCCUUUGUUCAUCCUAGUUUGAGCCUGGCUUGGUAGCCAAAGGUGUUUUAUGCCUAGGACACAUAA